Molecule: ribosomal RNA, 561 nt
Filed under: uncultured bacterium
Lineage: Bacteria
Description: bacterial SSU rRNA
Rfam family: Bacterial small subunit ribosomal RNA
Source: RNAcentral
CCUACGGGAGGCAGCAGUGGGGAAUAUUGGACAAUGGGCGAAAGCCUGAUCCAGCAAUGCCGCGUGAGUGAUGAAGGCCUUAGGGUUGUAAAGCUCUUUUACCAGGGAUGAUAAUGACAGUACCUGGAGAAUAAGCUCCGGCUAACUCCGUGCCAGCAGCCGCGGUAAUACGGAGGGAGCUAGCGUUGUUCGGAAUUACUGGGCGUAAAGCGUACGUAGGCGGUUAUUCAAGUCAGAGGUGAAAGCCUGGAGCUCAACUCCAGAACUGCCUUUGAAACUAGAUAGCUAGAAUCACGGAGAGGUUAGUGGAAUUCCGAGUGUAGAGGUGAAAUUCGUAGAUAUUCGGAAGAACACCAGUGGCGAAGGCGACUAACUGGACGUGUAUUGACGCUGAGGUACGAAAGCGUGGGGAGCAAACAGGAUUAGAUACCCUGGUAGUCCACGCCGUAAACGAUGAUAACUAGCUGUUCGGUCUCUACGAGACUGAGUGGCGCAGCUAACGCAUUAAGUUAUCCGCCUGGGGAGACGGUCGCAAGAUUAAAACGUCAAAUGAAUUGACGG